Aethina tumida (small hive beetle) is the source of this 445-nucleotide long non-coding RNA. RefSeq lists it as uncharacterized. NCBI's taxonomy places the organism in Eukaryota, Metazoa, Arthropoda, Insecta, Coleoptera, Nitidulidae. The record is from RefSeq and is a predicted model, not a curated record. The transcript is spliced from 2 exons.
CUGGCGUGGUAGGAAAACACGUCUGGUGUCACUCGUACGGGGACGACGCAAUGCGCAACCACCACAGACGACUACAAAUACGUAACUGACAGCCGUGGUUCCGCGUGGUGUGGAGACGCGAGAGGAGAGCAGGCGAGUCCAAAGACUAGAACACAACUGGAUCUAUUUCUGGACGUUUGAGGUUUCGUGCAAGCACUGAAUCAAUGCGCUGGGAAAAAUGCGCACGCACCUCCCGACAGGAAAAUGCAGCAGGAAAGUUAAAUAUGGAAAUGGCGCUCCAGAGGGUUGCGUUACGCCAACACAAUGUCCAACGUGAUAUAUUAGGAGGGAUAUUUAAAAUAACUUUUAUAAUAUAUUUAGUACUUUAAUUGUAUAGAAAUUUGUUGUUUACAUUACAAAGUGAUUGCAUAUUAUCACCAAAAAUGUUAAAAAAGGAUAUUAAUUA